This is a non-coding RNA of Arachis ipaensis, 326 nucleotides long. The record is from RefSeq and is a predicted model, not a curated record. NCBI's taxonomy places the organism in Eukaryota, Viridiplantae, Streptophyta, Magnoliopsida, Fabales, Fabaceae.
UAGUUCAGGAUAUUGAUACUGCUUUAUCGAGGUGUUCAAAGAUGUCUAAGUUGGAACUUUUAUACUCCAGAGCUUGUGGCUUGCCCAUCUACAUGAAAGAGAGUAGAAAAUUAUAAGGGAGGAUUUCUUUGAUUAAGACAUGGCUGAACAGUGUUAGAAAGUGUAUCUCUGCGAGACAUCCUACUGUCUUAGAGUUUAACAUUCUUUACAAGUUAAAAUCAGAGAUCUUGGAUCUUCAAGUUCAUCUUCCAGAGAUAGAGGUGUUUGAGAAUAUGCUAAAUCGACCUGAAUCUUGUAGCAUCCAAUGUCGUGAGAUGUUAAAAGGU